AUUGAACGCUGGCGGCAGGCCUAACACAUGCAAGUCGAACGAGUGGCGGACGGGUGAGUAACGUCUGGGACACUGCUAGAUGGAGGGGGAUAAUUACUGGAAACGGUAGCUAAUACCGCAUACCAUCGGAUGUGCCCAGCUGGGAUUAGCUAGUAGGUGGGGUAAAGGCUAACCUAGGCGACGAUCCCUAGCUGGUAUGAGAGGAUGACCAGCAACACUGGAACUGAGACACGGUCCAUACUCCGACGGGAGGCAGCAGUGGGGAAUAGUGCGCAAUGGGCGCAAGCCUGAAGCAGCCAUGCCGCGUGUAUGAUGAGGGUCUUCGGGUUGUAAAGUUCUGUCAGCGGGGAGGCGUUACCCGCAGAAGAAGCACCGGCUAACUCCGUGCCAGCAGCCGCGGUAAUUC
Molecule: ribosomal RNA, 406 nt
Filed under: uncultured bacterium
Lineage: Bacteria
Description: partial 16S ribosomal RNA
Rfam family: Bacterial small subunit ribosomal RNA
Source: RNAcentral